AAUAGUUAGGCUAAGUGCAUGCUGCACAGAACAAAAAUUGCAUUCAAGGUUGGAAGACUUAAUUGAUGUGCGGGUAGAAAAUAUACAAAAAAAAAAAAACGUGGUGAAAAUUUUGCUCCAUAAAAGGGAACAUAAACCAAAUAAAAACCAAUAUGAAAGUGUUGUGGCUGCAAAGACGAAAACUUAAAAACCAACCCCUGGAUAAGGUACGCCAAGAAAAAAAUGAAAAAGUGACCUUAUUACAUAAUUCCAUGUAUGUACUGUACAUAGGUUAUGAUCCACGUGUGGCAGGAAAUUGCUGACCUGGCCUGACCCUCGGUCUCGGAGGGGGUCCGCUCCAGUACCACGAUCAUCCGUCCCUCUUUUUGGUGCCACCGGACCUUGCCUGCAGGCGAAAAAACGGAUGGACUUGGCGAUCGGGACCGAGUUGUUUAUAUACAUAUAUCUCACGCGCAACUAAGCCGCUCAACAACAACGAUAAUAUAAAACCAUCUAAUAUAUUAUAUCACCGCGCCUUGUGUGAAGAAAAUGUUGGUGCUUGCAUAUGUAGGGUGGGGAAAAAUUAGCUCAGCGGUCAUUGCCCUUGCGGCUGACCAUACACCUAUGCGCACUUAAAUAGAACCACCUGACCGUAUGUCACCUAUUCUCUCCUCCUCUCAGGUUAUUAAAAUUGUUCGAUGCCGACAUUCUAAAAGCCACUUAAGGGAAGAAAAGUAAAUCGCAAAAAUCUAGAAAAGAAAAUUUAAUGAAAAAUUAUGGAUAGAAAAAAAAAAUAGAAACGAAAAUUGUUCAAUAAUAUUAAAUAUUCCUAGACAUUAACUUAGAAAUAGAAGAAGAAUAGAUUCUAAAAGGGUGCAUCAUCGGUCUCAUUGUGUCCAUGGAAGGGUAUUGGUUAAAUACCUCUUCAUAACGCUUCUUGUUAUUUUGCAUAUUUCUACAUUUCUUUAACAGUUUUUAUUGCGAACGUGAAAUUGGGCCCAACGACACCAACAGCUGUUUAAAAAUCUGUAAGUAGACACACAUAUAUACACAUACACUCCGGGUCAGGCGAAUAGCGUCUACACAGUGAGACAUGCAUGCUUAACCAUAUAUAAAAUGAAUUAUUAUUAACUACAAUCACUACAAUUAUGCCGCCAUUUAAUUCAUUUAAUUAAUUCAUUCUUACUUUAUAUUUUGAUUAUAUUAUUUUUAUUCAUAUUUGACCAUUCUCUUGAAUUCAUAUGUAUUAAAUUAGUCCCACAUAUAUACACAUGCAGUAAAAAUAGUUUUAAGGGUUAGGGUAGAAAUAAUGGGGGUUACAAACAACUUGAAGUCUUACAAGUCAAAGUAAAAUUAUAACGAUUUAACAUGCAUUUCUAAUCUGAUUUUUGGGAGGGGUAGGCAGCAGCGGCAGGUUUAGGGCAGAACCAUAAUGGCAUUUUCUUAUGUUAUUCUACAUGGAGGGUGGGUCAAGAGGGAAGAGCACAACCACCUUGCUCUUCACAGUAGGUAGUUCCGGUAAGUUCCGUCCGGGUUUGUAAUUCCGAUCCCAGUUCCCGUAAAUCUGUCAACGAUUUUGUUAGGUGACGGAGUUCGUUUUCGCAGCACAACACCCACCCUAUUUUCCCUGAGCCUAGCCGGCCAACCUUUAGUAGACAGAGAGUGCUGACGAGACGACACUUCCCGUGUCCGUUACAAAGUUGAAGAGUGGUUGGCUGAAAAGAUAAUAAAGCCCAGUACAUCAGAAUAUUCAUCGCCAGUAGUAUUGGUACCCAAAAAGAAUGGCAGCAAAAUGUUGUGCUGUGACUACCGAAAGCUAAAUGAGAAAUUUAUUCGUGAUAACUUUCCCGUGUCCCAUAUGGAAGUUAACACAUAAGAAAUAACGUGUAAGAAAUUAAGCACGAAUGUUCAUGUGCCACCCUAACUUAGCGCAUAAGAAAUACGAUUUAUCAUGUGACGCCCUAACUUAUCCAGUCUGAUACGGAGGGCGCCGAUGCAGUAGAUGCCGUUGCAGCGGGCGACUCUCUUAUCUGAUUGGGCGCCAGCGAUCGCAUGAUUUUGUUUUGUGCGCGGGCGGCUCUUAUCUCAUUUGUGCGCUGCCGGCUCGCCAGCUAAGUUUCGGUUUAGGUUUAGAAGUAAGCUUCAGUUUAGAAUUGGACGAAUAAAUGAACGGAGCGUUCCAAUCAACUCCGACACGAGUCGUAAAACGUGUAUUAAUAUAAUUAUAUUGUUGAGCCUUAAGGGCCAACGAAAUAGAGGGCAGUUACCCUCUCAACAUAAUCUUCGGUAGAAGACUCAGUUGCCAACCGCAACCACCGUCCCCCGCUACAAGAGCGGGCCACGGGAACCCGAUCGCUGCCGCCGGAGCCAACGCAACGCAUACCGCAGCUCAGACCAUUACGACAUAAAGAUAAUUUGCGCCCAACGGGAUUUAGAAUCCACGUCCCCAAGAAAAAAUAACAUGUAAGUGACUGUUCGGAAAAAAUAAAGCUUGUGAGAGAAUUUUUAUUUCCCCUUCGCUGAUCGUUCAUGAGUUGGGACUAUAGAAACAAGGUUGAAUACGACAGCGACGAGAGCCUAGACUUAUUAUACCAGCCCCCAGUCAGAUCAGUACAGAAUCUAUUUAAAAUGGAUCCAGCCAUGAUAAAAGCGUUAGUAGAAGGCGCAAUCAACAACGCCCUCGACGAACAGGAACGACGACUGAGUGCAGAAUUUGGCAGGGACCUCGAAAAAAGUUAGAAAUAGUGUGAGCGCCCUAACUGUAGGUGUCCCUCAGGUGGAAACUUAUAAGAGAGUCCCCAUUGACAAUAAUAUAUAAGAUACAG
Molecule: long non-coding RNA, 2804 nt
Filed under: Drosophila guanche
Lineage: Eukaryota; Metazoa; Arthropoda; Insecta; Diptera; Drosophilidae
Source: RNAcentral